CUGGCUCUGAAUCAAGGCCAGCAGCUUCCUGACACUGUUGGUUUCAAUCAGGAGUCUAAAGAGAUGACUUUCUAUGAUCUGUUGGCCAUUUCAGAACUUGGGCAGUGAAAGGGUCAAUUCAUGAAAAAGAUAGCUUG
Small nucleolar RNA from Cavia aperea (Brazilian guinea pig), 137 nucleotides. The record is from Ensembl. NCBI's taxonomy places the organism in Eukaryota, Metazoa, Chordata, Mammalia, Rodentia, Caviidae.